UACAGAGGUCCCGAGCGUUGUUCGGAUUCACUGGGCGUAAAGGGUGCGUAGGUGGUGAGGUGUGUCGGAUGUGAAAUCUCGGAGCUCAACUCCGAAACUGCAUUGGAAACUACCUUGCUGGAGGGUUGGAGGGGGGACUGGAAUACUUGGUGUAGCAGUGAAAUGCGUAGAUAUCAAGUGGAACACCAGUGGCGAAGGCGAGUCCCUGGACAACUCCUGACACUGAGGCACGAAAGCUAGGGGAGCAAACAGGAUUAGAAACCCGAGUAGUCC
This 273-nucleotide ribosomal RNA is filed under the name uncultured prokaryote. Its description in RNAcentral is "partial 16S ribosomal RNA". It matches the Rfam family "Bacterial small subunit ribosomal RNA", at positions 524 to 796 of the family's 1533-position model. The record is from RNAcentral.